CCAGACUCCUACGGGAGGCAGCAGUAGGGAAUCUUCCACAAUGGACGAAAGUCUGAUGGAGCAACGCCGCGUGAGUGAAGAAGGGUUUCGGCUCGUAAAGCUCUGUUGGUAGUGAAGAAAGAUAGAGGUAGUAACUGGCCUUUAUUUGACGGUAAUUACUUAGAAAGUCACGGCUAACUACGUGCCAGCAGCCGCGGUAAUACGUAGGUGGCAAGCGUUGUCCGGAUUUAUUGGGCGUAAAGCGAGUGCAGGCGGUUCAAUAAGUCUGAUGUGAAAGCCUUCGGCUCAACCGGAGAAUUGCAUCAGAAACUGUUGAACUUGAGUGCAGAAGAGGAGAGUGGAACUCCAUGUGUAGCGGUGGAAUGCGUAGAUAUAUGGAAGAACACCAGUGGCGAAGGCGGCUCUCUGGUCUGCAACUGACGCUGAGGCUCGAAAGCAUGGGUAGCGAACAGGAUUAGAUACCCCAGUA
This 469-nucleotide ribosomal RNA is filed under the name uncultured bacterium. RNAcentral's name for it is "bacterial SSU rRNA". It matches the Rfam family "Bacterial small subunit ribosomal RNA", at positions 331 to 792 of the family's 1533-position model. The record is from RNAcentral.